CUCACGGGCCCAGCCGCUCUGCGGCAUGUGGGAUCCUCCCGGACCGGGGCACGAAUCCGUGUCCCCUGCAUCGGCAGGCGGACUCUCAACCACUGCGCCACCAGGGAAGCCCAAAGAACAAUGAAUUUGGAGGAAGAGUUUUCUCAAGCAAAAGGGUUUGCUCAUUGGCUAAUUAUUGUCAUAUUAGUUUGGAAUGUGUGAAAUUCAGUUUCUGCAAGAAUGUCACCCUGGAU
This is a long non-coding RNA of Lagenorhynchus albirostris (white-beaked dolphin), 233 nucleotides long. RefSeq lists it as uncharacterized. Lineage: Eukaryota; Metazoa; Chordata; Mammalia; Artiodactyla; Delphinidae. The record is from RefSeq and is a predicted model, not a curated record. The transcript is spliced from 3 exons.